CUGAUGGAGCAUACCACGUGAACGAUGAAGGUCUUCUGAUUGUAAAGUUCUUUUAUUUAGGAAAAAAAGCGCGCUAGGAAAUGAGCGCGCCUUGAUGGUACUAAUUGAAUAAGUGACAGCUAACUAUGUGCCAGCAGCUGCGGUAAAACAUAGGUCACGAGCAUUAUCCGGAUUUAUUGGGCGUAAAGGAAGCGUAGGUGGGGAGGUUGAUCCAUUGUUAAAGGCAUUUGCUUAACAAAUGUGUGCGAUGGAGAUCGCCUUCCUAGAGUUAAUCAGGGGGUACUGGAAUUCAAUGUGUAGCGGUGGAAUGCGUAGAUAUAUUGAGGAACACCAGAGGCUAAGGCGAGUACCUAGGAUAUAACUGACACUGAGGCUUGAAAGCGUGGGGAGCAAAUGGGAUUAGAUACCCCAGUAGUCCACGCCGUAAACGAUGGGCAUUAGGUAUUUGACAUCUGGUCGAGUGCUGUAGCUAACGCGUUAAAUGCCCCGCCUGGGUAGUAUAUAUGCAAAUAUGAAACUCAAAGAAAUUGACGGGGACCUGAACAAGUGGUGGAGCAUGUUGCUUAAUUCGAUAAUACACGAAAAACCUUACCAAGGCUUGUAAUCUACUGCAAAGCUAUAGAAAUAUAGUGGAGGCAAUCAGUAAGACAGGUGGUGCAUGGCUGUCGUCAGCUCGUGUCUUGAGAUGUUUGGUUAAGUCCCGUAACGAGCGCAACCCUACUCUCUAGUUACCUAGUUCUAGAGUGACUGAAUCGUAAGAUAUAGGAAGGUUGGGG
RNAcentral lists this ribosomal RNA (776 nucleotides) under uncultured Mycoplasma sp. RNAcentral's name for it is "bacterial SSU rRNA". It matches the Rfam family "Bacterial small subunit ribosomal RNA", at positions 383 to 1179 of the family's 1533-position model. Lineage: Bacteria; Bacillati; Mycoplasmatota; Mollicutes; Mycoplasmatales; Mycoplasmataceae. The record is from RNAcentral.